Molecule: ribosomal RNA, 569 nt
Filed under: Staphylococcus aureus
Lineage: Bacteria; Bacillati; Bacillota; Bacilli; Caryophanales; Staphylococcaceae
Description: bacterial SSU rRNA
Rfam family: Bacterial small subunit ribosomal RNA
Source: RNAcentral
UUUAUGGAGAGUUUGAUCCUGGCUCAGGAUGAACGCUGGCGGCGUGCCUAAUACAUGCAAGUCGAGCGAACGGACGAGAAGCUUGCUUCUCUGAUGUUAGCGGCGGACGGGUGAGUAACACGUGGAUAACCUACCUAUAAGACUGGGAUAACUUCGGGAAACCGGAGCUAAUACCGGAUAAUAUUUUGAACCGCAUGGUUCAAAAGUGAAAGACGGUCUUGCUGUCACUUAUAGAUGGAUCCGCGCUGCAUUAGCUAGUUGGUAAGGUAACGGCUUACCAAGGCAACGAUGCAUAGCCGACCUGAGAGGGUGAUCGGCCACACUGGAACUGAGACACGGUCCAGACUCCUACGGGAGGCAGCAGUAGGGAAUCUUCCGCAAUGGGCGAAAGCCUGACGGAGCAACGCCGCGUGAGUGAUGAAGGUCUUCGGAUCGUAAAACUCUGUUAUUAGGGAAGAACAUAUGUGUAAGUAACUGUGCACAUCUUGACGGUACCUAAUCAGAAAGCCACGGCUAACUACGUGCCAGCAGCCGCGGUAAUACGUAGGUGGCAAGCGUUAUCCGGAAUU